ACAAACUUGGUCAUUUAGAGGAAGUAAAAGUCGUAACAAGGUUUCCGUAGGUGAACCUGCGGAAGGAUCAUUAUCAAUUUAUUAUUAUAAUAAACCUUGUGUGCAAUUAGUGAAAAAGUUAAUAAAAGAUUGAAUUACCUUUGGGAGAAUUACCUUUGGGAGAAUUACCAAAGGGAGGAUUUCCAAAGGGAAGAAUAUCUUUUUUUUUAGUUAUAUAUUUGUCAAAUUUAUGUAUAUAUAUUUAUUUUUUAAAAUAAGAAAAAAAAAACUUUCAACAACGGAUCUCUUGGCUCUCGCAUCGAUGAAGAACGCAGC
Molecule: unclassified non-coding RNA, 315 nt
Filed under: uncultured fungus
Lineage: Eukaryota; Fungi
Description: partial contains small subunit ribosomal RNA, internal transcribed spacer 1, and 5.8S ribosomal RNA
Rfam family: Eukaryotic small subunit ribosomal RNA (bases 1-73)
Source: RNAcentral